CGUACCUUUUGUAUAAUGGGUCAGCGACUUAUAUUCUGUAGCAAGGUUAACCGAAUAGGGGAGCCGAAGGGAAACCGAGUCUUAACUGGGCGUUAAGUUGCAGGGUAUAGACCCGAAACCCGGUGAUCUAGCCAUGGGCAGGUUGAAGGUUGGGUAACACUAACUGGAGGACCGAACCGACUAAUGUUGAAAAAUUAGCGGAUGACUUGUGGCUGGGGGUGAAAGGCCAAUCAAACCGGGAGAUAGCUGGUUCUCCCCGAAAGCUAUUUAGGUAGCGCCUCGUGAAUUCAUCUCCGGGGGUAGAGCACUGUUUCGGCAAGGGGGUCAUCCCGACUUACCAACCCGAUGCAAACUGCGAAUACCGGAGAAUGUUAUCACGGGAGACACACGGCGGGUGCUAACGUCCGUCGUGAAGAGGGAAACAACCCAGACCGCCAGCUAAGGUCCCAAAGUCAUGGUUAAGUGGGAAACGAUGUGGGAAGGCCCAGACAGCCAGGAUGUUGGCUUAGAAGCAGCCAUCAUUUAAAGAAAGCGUAAUAGCUCACUGGUCGAGUCGGCCUGCGCGGAAGAUGUAACGGGGCUAAACCAUGCACCGAAGCUGCGGCAGCGACGCUUAUGCGUUGUUGGGUAGGGGAGCGUUCUGUAAGCCUGCGAAGGUGUACUGUGAGGUAUGCUGGAGGUAUCAGAAGUGCGAAUGCUGACAUAAGUAACGAUAAAGCGGGUGAAAAGCCCGCUCGCCGGAAGACCAAGGGUUCCUGUCCAACGUUAA
RNAcentral lists this ribosomal RNA (769 nucleotides) under Escherichia coli. RNAcentral describes it as "partial 23S ribosomal RNA". It matches the Rfam family "Bacterial large subunit ribosomal RNA", at positions 600 to 1368 of the family's 2925-position model. The record is from RNAcentral. Lineage: Bacteria; Pseudomonadati; Pseudomonadota; Gammaproteobacteria; Enterobacterales; Enterobacteriaceae.